RNAcentral lists this transfer RNA (75 nucleotides) under Agathobaculum phage AB434P2. Its description in RNAcentral is "tRNA-Gln". It matches the Rfam family "tRNA". Rfam says of the family: Transfer RNA (tRNA) molecules are approximately 80 nucleotides in length. Their secondary structure includes four short double-helical elements and three loops (D, anti-codon, and T loops). The record is from RNAcentral. Lineage: Duplodnaviria; Heunggongvirae; Uroviricota; Caudoviricetes. RNAcentral also lists the same sequence under 1 other name.
UGAGAUAUAGCCAAGAGGUAAGGCACUGGACUUUGACUCCAUAAUUCGUUGGUUCGAAUCCAACUAUCUCAGCCA